UACCCACAGGACUCUCUUGCUCACCCCAGUGGACAGACUCUCCUUUGUCUAAACCUGGGUGUUGUUCUCCAGCAGUGCAGAGGCUUAGAAAACAACAAUGGUGAUGAAAACUAAUAGAAAUCAGGACAUGCUGAUGUCCACUUGUAACCGGCACUCAGGAGGCAGAAGCAGGAGGAUUAAGGGAGCAAUUAUUCCUCAAAGCCAGAUCAGAAGCUAUGAGCAGAAAAAAAGGAAAUAGCUGCCAACUGGGAAAGAUGGUGGACACCCAGGACAGAGAGCAGCACUGUUGCUUCAACGCCAGACCAUGAAGCAUGAGGAACCAACUCUGGUUUGUGAGUUGUUUGCUCAUUCUCUCAACAAAUUGUGAAUUGCAUUUGGAGGACACCAAAGAAAUAAUACUGACCUACAGGAAAGGACAUUUGGGUUUUACUUAUGAAGAACUGGGGAUGGAAUGUAUUCCUUUCAGAUUUGAAUCAUUAAACUAUAUCCGGGUAUAUGCUCAUUAUAGGAAAGAUGUUAAGUAAUUCUCUAAUUAUAUGUAUUACUCUGUGGGCAGAGGAUCCGGGACAAGUGACUUCUCUCACAUGUCAGGGUGCAGAGCUAAAAGCAGGACUUGACUUCCUGACUUGAGUAACUGUUCUGAAUCCACUGCCUAGCAACCGUGGCCCCAGUUCAGGAGCAGCUAAUGCUGUGAGGAGCCUGGCUUCCUCAAGAGUAGGAGCUCAGGCCUGUUCCCUCUGUUUCCUCUGGUGUUGGACACAGCAGAAAUCACCGUGGAGGCUGCUAUAGCUUCCAGCGAUGAAUCCCAGGCUAUCUCCACUUUAGAUGAAGAUGAGUUGGAGGAAAUGGCAGCCACCCCCAGCCGUUGUAAGCAAAGCCUGGCCCAGGGAAACAGAAAAGAGCAGAGGAAUUUGGAGCCUUUUUCUAACAGGAGAUUGAGUUGAACACUCCCCUGUGCUCACAUUGGACAAUUUAUCUGUCUCAAUGUGUACGUUAUUACUUCUGGCACAUAAUGAAACAUUAUGACCUCACAAAGCAAACUAGUGAGUGUAAUUGUCUCCAUUCAUCUCUCCCCCACCCUUCUAUGGUGAAGGAAAAAAAAAAAAGCUAGCCUGAGCCUUGACGUUUGCUCAGAGAGGAAUGUUUAUAGAAAUUUGUCUUCA
Non-coding RNA from Cricetulus griseus (Chinese hamster), 1163 nucleotides. NCBI's taxonomy places the organism in Eukaryota, Metazoa, Chordata, Mammalia, Rodentia, Cricetidae. The record is from RefSeq and is a predicted model, not a curated record.